RNAcentral lists this transfer RNA (85 nucleotides) under Segatella maculosa OT 289. Its description in RNAcentral is "Prevotella maculosa OT 289 tRNA". It matches the Rfam family "tRNA". Rfam says of the family: Transfer RNA (tRNA) molecules are approximately 80 nucleotides in length. Their secondary structure includes four short double-helical elements and three loops (D, anti-codon, and T loops). The record is from Rfam by way of RNAcentral. Lineage: Bacteria; Pseudomonadati; Bacteroidota; Bacteroidia; Bacteroidales; Prevotellaceae.
GGAGAGAUGGUAGAGUGGUCGAUUACAACGGUCUUGAAAACCGUCGUGCUGCAAGGCACCGGGGGUUCGAAUCCCUCUCUCUCCG